AUAAUGGUCUCUUACUAACACUGAACCACUGCUGAGCUAUUCCAAAUCCGAUCUCCCAUCUAAGACUGAACAUACUUGGUUUAUCUUCUAACCUCCAUUUGGUCCAUACAUGUUUCACUUGGAAUAGGCAGCCAUGUCCUCGAGUCUCUCCUUACACUUCACCACUACCUUAGGCUCCCAACAAAACUGAACGUCCUUAUCCCUCAAGUCCUUAACCACUUGCAAGAUACAGUUCCAAAUAUAUAUAUAUAUACUCCAUGAAGUACUCUCGUUCUUC
RNAcentral lists this long non-coding RNA (277 nucleotides) under Lathyrus oleraceus (garden pea). RNAcentral's name for it is "Pisum sativum (pea) long non-coding RNA (PSAT_LNC004314)". Lineage: Eukaryota; Viridiplantae; Streptophyta; Magnoliopsida; Fabales; Fabaceae. The record is from RNAcentral.